This 2498-nucleotide unclassified non-coding RNA is filed under the name Leishmania donovani. RNAcentral's name for it is "gene:LdHU3.13.1950(CDS-product:Protein_Associated _with_Differentiation_putative)". The record is from RNAcentral. Lineage: Eukaryota; Euglenozoa; Kinetoplastea; Trypanosomatida; Trypanosomatidae.
AAGACACCUGGCUACGGCUUCAGAAAUACCUACUUUUUUUUUGCUUCGAUUUCUUUGGUACCUCCAGAAAUCAAGCUGACACAGCGACUUUUUCUCCAUCUCUAUCCACUCCAGAUCCCCACGAUGUUUGACAUUCGCGAGAAGGAGGUUCAUUUGGAGGUGCUCUCGAAAGCGCCUGUGAGGUCCAUCAGCGAAACGCAUCGAUUUGGCCUUCUGGUACUUGGUGUCUUCGGCAUGAUUUGCGGAUCUUUUGGCAGCUACACGUUCAACCUCGUCUCCGGAUCCCUCCAGGAACGAUACUCUCUCUCACAGCGCGAUUUGAGCACCAUCACGACCGCAGGAACGGUGAUUGGGAAUGUGAUGCUUCCAUACUCCUUUCUGUACGAUUACAUCGGGCCGCUCCCCAUUGCGGUUCUUUCCUCGUUUGUCUUUCCACUCGGCGCUCUCCUUGUCGCUUUGUGCUUUCAGGGCGUCAUUGUCGGCAACUUGGUGAAGCUGUGUGUAUUUUAUUCAUUUAUGAACGUGGGUACCUCAUUCUUUGACCUCUCCAGCUGCAUAACUAUUCUGAGCUAUUUCCCCACAACUAGAGGUCCUGUUGUGGCGCUUCUCAAGACCUUUAUUGGCCUUGGCGCCGCUAUUGUGGGAAGUAUGUUCCAGGGAUUCUUCGGCGGCGCGGUGCAGUACUUCUUCUACUUCUUGAUGCUGUUCGCGAUCAUCGUCGGUGUGCUGGGUAUCAUCUUUCUGCGUCUUCCAGCGUACCACCUCACAGGUUACGAGGAGUCGCAUCUCUCAAAGGCGGAAAAAGAGCAGCGACUGGCAUCCAAGGCGCAAUUCCUGAAGCAGAAGCCGCCAAUGUGGCGCUUCUACUACGGCUUUGUACUCAUGGUGGUGCUCAUUGGCUUUUUGCCGCUCACGGCCGCCCUUGUGGACUACCUGGACCUCGGACGAAAAGAGAAGCUGACGUUCGCCACCAUCACAACCAUCUUUGCCGCGGGCUUCGUCGUGAUAGCCAUCCCUCCCGAGGUGUUCCACUGCCCUCGUCGAAUCUCACCCGCUCAUGAGGAUUUUGAAACCCUCGAAAAGGGGGAGACGAUGCCACACAACAACUCCAAUGAUGCCGACAAGCCACUUCCUUUCCCAAGCCCGGCAGUCGCGGAAGAGGAUGUGGACACAGAGAUCGACUACAUCGCGCCGCAGUACCAAACAUCUUUUGUGAAGAAUCUCCUCUCCGUCCAUCUGUGGGCACUCUGGUGGACUUCGUUCUGCAUCGUCGGCGCCGAAGAUGUGAUCAUUAACAAUUCCAGCUACAUCUUUGGCGCCUUGGCCGGCGAAAAGACCUCUACAUCCACCCGCACUCUUCUCACCGUCCUUAACGGUGUCGGAAGUGCGACGGGUCGGCUGCUAAUGUCGUACUUUGAGGCGUGGUCGCAGAACCGUCCAGCAGAGAAACGGAUCCCGCUCACGAUUUCAUUGUUCAUUCCGACCACAUCUAUAAUCGUUACCAUUGUGCUGUUUCUCACGCUACCAAAGCAGGCACUCCCGCUCCCGUACGUUAUUGCGGCCAUCGGCAACGGUUUCCUCGCCGCCACCACGAUCCUCAUCACGCGCACCAUCUACGCCCGGGACCCUGCCAAGCACUACCACUUCUGCUUCCUCGCUGCCGCCGCCUCGUCCAUCGCCCUUAACCGCUUCCUCUACGGUGAGUGGUAUACAGUACAGUCAGAGAAACUGGGUAACUCUCUUCUCUGCACACACCGCAAGUGCGUUGAGAUGCCGCUUAUCGUGCUGCUCGGUUUGUCAUGCAGCGCUUUUGUGUCGAACGUCGUGGUUCAUUUCACGUAUCGCCGCUACAGCGAGCGUGUUCUCGCUGAGCGCCGCCGCCUCCGCGAGGAGAACUUCCCAAACUCUGAGCCACUUGACGAGGGCACUCCGGAGACGACACUGUAGCUGUGAUUGGUUCUCUCCGCAUACUUCCGUGCACGAUCGAGGAAGGGAAAGCAGCACAAACCGCUUCCUUCGAACCUUUUCAUUAUUGUAGAAUGACUGUGACGUCCUUGUGUUCGUAAGAACGUCGGCUGCUUUUGCACGCUGAUCUGACGUAACGGGCAAUUGGUUUUGGAGUGUCUCCUUCUUUACACGAGAUAUAUCACCAAAAAAAAACGCAAUCCCUCUGUUUCGCCCUUCUCCGUAGGGAUACAAGCACACGUGGCAUGGCUCCCAUGCAGCCGAUAAUGCGGCGUGGGAACAAGAGUUGUGUCCUGUAUGGAUCUGUCGUUUUUUUUUCUUUCUGUUUCUUCCUUCUUCCCUACGACGUUGAAGUGGAAAAGUCACGUGAGCACUUGGGCAUGCGCAUGUAGCUUUCGCUUUGCACUUGUCUUAUGGACUGCAUUAUGUGCAGUAGCCCGCGGCGUAAGCCUGCUCUCUUUGACUCUCGCUCAACCUCCCCGCCCGUCUCUUCGUUACAAGCUCGAGAAAAAAGGCACAAUGUUGAUGGCCGU